UACGGAGGAUGCGAGCGUUAUCCGGAUUUAGUGGGUUUAAAGGGUGCGCAGGCGGAUUUUUAAGUCAGCGGUCAAAUCGUGGGGCUCAACCCCAUCCAGCCGUUGAAACUGGGGAUCUAGAGUGUGCGAGAGGUAUGCGGAAUGCGUGGUGUAGCGGUGAAAUGCAUAGAUAUCACGCAGAACCCCGAUUGCGAAGGCAGCAUACCGGUGCACAACUGACGCUCAGGCACGAAAGCGUGGGUAUCGAACAGG
Molecule: ribosomal RNA, 252 nt
Filed under: uncultured bacterium
Lineage: Bacteria
Description: partial 16S ribosomal RNA
Rfam family: Bacterial small subunit ribosomal RNA
Source: RNAcentral